GGUGACUUGGCACACACUUCUUUGAGGCUUAUCCUAUAAAUGAGCCUCUGAUAAGCAAAGAAAAACAUACCCUUUUACCCCAGCAAUUCCAUAAAGAUUUGGUACUUCCUAUCCAGAUUAGCAGUUAGAGCUGAAAUUACCCUGAAACAAAUCAGCUGGUUAUUCUACAAAAAAACAUAAAAUGUAUAUGUUGACCAGCCUCUUCUUUCCAGGUCUCCAAAAUCUCUGUGAACAGAUUCUUUUCAACAGGGAGUAUCUCAGCCAUGCAGGUGGAUGGGACACAGAUAUACAUGUUGCAAAAGAAGGUUGCUUCGUGGGAAAACUCUCCUGAACAAGCCUUGCGUUUAUUUCUAAGACAGUGGCACUUGUCCAACAAUGUGUCCAAUUUGUCAAGAAGGUCUGAUUGAAGCCCUUCAUUAUCAUACAUUGGUGAAAUAAUUUGCCUGAAGGGGAAAUGGCUCAUUAAUAAGAGGAAUGAAUUGCA
This 484-nucleotide long non-coding RNA is filed under the name Mustela putorius furo (domestic ferret). Its description in RNAcentral is "lncRNA (ENSMPUG00000028658.1)". The record is from RNAcentral. Lineage: Eukaryota; Metazoa; Chordata; Mammalia; Carnivora; Mustelidae.